UAGAGUUUGAUCAUGGCUCAGAUUGAACGCUGGCGGCAGGCCUAACACAUGCAAGUCGAGCGGUAGAGAGAAGCUUGCUUCUCUUGAGAGCGGCGGACGGGUGAGUAAUGCCUAGGAAUCUGCCUGGUAGUGGGGGAUAACGUUCGGAAACGGACGCUAAUACCGCAUACGUCCUACGGGAGAAAGCAGGGGACCUUCGGGCCUUGCGCUAUCAGAUGAGCCUAGGUCGGAUUAGCUAGUUGGUGGGGUAAUGGCUCACCAAGGCGACGAUCCGUAACUGGUCUGAGAGGAUGAUCAGUCACACUGGAACUGAGACACGGUCCAGACUCCUACGGGAGGCAGCAGUGGGGAAUAUUGGACAAUGGGCGAAAGCCUGAUCCAGCCAUGCCGCGUGUGUGAAGAAGGUCUUCGGAUUGUAAAGCACUUUAAGUUGGGAGGAAGGAUUGUAGAUUAAUACUCUGCAAUUUUGACGUUACCGACAGAAUAAGCACCGGCUAACUCUGUGCCAGCAGCCGCGGUAAUACAGAGGGUGCAAGCGUUAAUCGGAAUUACUGGGCGUAAAGCGCGCGUAGGUGGUUUGUUAAGUUGGAUGUGAAAUCCCCGGGCUCAACCUGGGAACUGCAUUCAAAACUGACUGACUAGAGUAUAGUAGAGGGUGGUGGAAUUUCCUGUGUAGCGGUGAAAUGCGUAGAUAUAGGAAGGAACACCAGUGGCGAAGGCGACCACCUGGACUAAUACUA
RNAcentral lists this ribosomal RNA (740 nucleotides) under uncultured bacterium. Its description in RNAcentral is "bacterial SSU rRNA". It matches the Rfam family "Bacterial small subunit ribosomal RNA", at positions 1 to 742 of the family's 1533-position model. The record is from RNAcentral.